Acanthosepion pharaonis is the source of this 97-nucleotide non-coding RNA. Lineage: Eukaryota; Metazoa; Mollusca; Cephalopoda; Sepiida; Sepiidae. The record is from the annotation of a GenBank genome assembly.
AGGAAACACCGGUAACCGUAUGAUCACUGAAGUUAAGCAACGUCGAGCCUGAUCACUACCUAGAUGGGUGAGAGCUUGGGAAUAUCAGCUAUUGUAC